Molecule: transfer RNA, 64 nt
Filed under: Phoronopsis harmeri
Lineage: Eukaryota; Metazoa; Phoronida; Phoronidae
Description: tRNA-His
Rfam family: tRNA
About the family: Transfer RNA (tRNA) molecules are approximately 80 nucleotides in length. Their secondary structure includes four short double-helical elements and three loops (D, anti-codon, and T loops).
Source: RNAcentral
GUCUAAAUAGUUUAAAGAAGAACAUUAGUUUGUGGGGCUAAUAGUGGAAGCUUUCCUUUAGACC